GAUGAACGCUGGCGGCGUGCCUAAUACAUGCAAGCCGAGCGAAUAGAUAAGGAGCUUGCUCCUUUGACGUUAGCGGCGGACGGGUGAGUAACACGUGGGUAACCUACCUAUAAGACUGGAAUAACUCCGGGAAACCGGGGCUAAUGCCGGAUAACAUUUAGAGCCGCAUGGUUCUAAAGUGAAAGAUGGUUUUGCUAUCACUUAUAGAUGGACCCGCGCCGUAUUAGCUAGUUGGUAAGGUAAUGGCUUACCAAGGCAACGAUACGUAGCCGACCUGAGAGGGUGAUCGGCCACACUGGAACUGAGACACGGUCCAGACUCCUACGGGAGGCAGCAGUAGGGAAUCUUCCGCAAUGGGCGAAAGCCUGACGGAGCAACGCCGCGUGAGUGAUGAAGGGUUUCGGCUCGUAAAACUCUGUUAUUAGGGAAGAACAAACGUGUAAGUAACUGUGCACGUCUUGACGGUACCUAAUCAGAAAGCCACGGCUAACUACGUGCCAGCAGCCGCAGUAA
RNAcentral lists this ribosomal RNA (513 nucleotides) under uncultured bacterium. RNAcentral's name for it is "partial 16S ribosomal RNA". It matches the Rfam family "Bacterial small subunit ribosomal RNA", at positions 28 to 523 of the family's 1533-position model. The record is from RNAcentral.